GGUGAUGUAGCUCAAGGGUAGAGCACUUGCUUAGCAUGCACGAAGUCCUUGGUUCAAUCUCCAGCAUCACAA
RNAcentral lists this transfer RNA (72 nucleotides) under Marmota monax (woodchuck). It matches the Rfam family "tRNA". Rfam says of the family: Transfer RNA (tRNA) molecules are approximately 80 nucleotides in length. Their secondary structure includes four short double-helical elements and three loops (D, anti-codon, and T loops). Lineage: Eukaryota; Metazoa; Chordata; Mammalia; Rodentia; Sciuridae. The record is from Rfam by way of RNAcentral.